Molecule: long non-coding RNA, 2240 nt
Filed under: Gossypium barbadense (sea-island cotton)
Lineage: Eukaryota; Viridiplantae; Streptophyta; Magnoliopsida; Malvales; Malvaceae
Description: long non-coding RNA (GBAR_LNC010890)
Source: RNAcentral
UUUUGAAAUCAACUGUUGUUUUUGAAAACGCGCCCUAAAGCUAUCCAAUUUCAACAGUUAAAAUAAGUAUUACCUAUCUUAGUAAUACAUAUUAAAAACCAUAAAAAAUAAAUAAGCGGCCUUAUUACAUUUAAAAACCCAAAAACUUCAAACGUAAAUAAAAGGAUGUCCAGUUCACCAGAAGAAAAUCAAACUUUCAGAACAGGUGGCCACUCCGAAUUCCCUCACAGCUCCAAGCCCACUAUGGUUGGGGAUUACCUGCGUGGAUGAAAAUAAAAGGGGUGAGUUUGGGGAAACUCAGUGUGUAAAUUAACCCAACCAUAGCCUAUAUCAGCUUAAACCACAGAAAUAGAAUAAGUUGGCCUUAGCCCAGAACAGAAUUCAAAAUAAAGCCCAUCGGCCCAUAACAGAACAGAACAGAUAUUACAUGUUUAUGCAGAAACCCAACCGUAUACACCCUCGUACCAACCUUACACCGUGUGGGGAGACAACUCGACCCACCUAACCGCUACACACCACAGAAUUUGCAGCAUGGCUGCCAGAACAGAUAAUGUGACAGAGUCACCAGAUACAGAUAAUCGUGGUAGAGCCACCAGAACAGAUAUAUGUGGCAGAGCCACCAGAUCAGAUAUUUGUGGCAUAGCCACCAGAACGCUUCCUCCAUAAUAUAACCCAUGUCCCCAUGCAACAGAUAUAUAAUCAUGGCAUACAUCAUACAGAAUCAGAUCGUCAUGCUUUUCAGUCAAAAUUAACCCUAGGGGUAUAACGGUAAUUUUGCACCUAGGGGUAUAACAGUAAUUUUCCAUACAUAGGGGUAUUAUAGUAAUUUAGCUACUUUUAGGGUUUUCAUGCAUAUCCUAACUAUUUACGUACUAUCAGAAAACUUACCGCACAUACUUACUGAAUUGGGCCCGUUGGCCCAUGAAUCCGAUCUUUGGCCCAUUAAGCCCAAAUUAUCAAAAUGUACGAAAUCGCGCGUACUGCAGUUUAUUACUUUAGAUUACCAAAUAUACAAACCCAACUAUCUUACGAGCAUUCGCACACUCGCAAAUUCUCAAAAUACCGACUUUUCGGCAUUUCGGCUUUUUGGCUUUUGCCAAUCUAGUCCAUGAGAGGGUGUCAGUUACACACCUGUUUGCGACGAUAUGCUGACGAGAUCCACACACGAACCGCCUACAAUUGGAUUACUAACACGUUAAUCUAACUAUUCAAAUACGAACUACGUAUUAACCCCUUACAAUAUUCGGCCAACCACACCUACAGAUCACAGUAAGCUUAUAAGAAAUCAAUAAGCAACUCAUUAACAAAUUUUUGUAAUUGUUUACCACAUAAUCAUAAUUUCACUGCAAGCUGUCUUCCUAAGCAACAGUCACUAAAUUAUUUAUAACUGGAGCUACGAAACUCCAAAUCAAGUGCCAUUAAUUUUCCCUAAAAAUAGACUCAUAUAUCUUUUAUCCAUAAAAUUUUCAGAAUUUUUGGUAUGACCAAUCAAUACCAGAUUUUUCUUAAAGUUUCCCAUGUUUCACUGUUUGACUAAUCUGACCACUCUUCAUUACGAAUCAAAUUUCACAUUUUACAGAAUUCAAAAUAUGUUCUUGUUUAUUUCAUUAGAAACUAGACUCAAUAAGCUUUAAUUACAUAAUUUAUUCAGCUUCUAAUUCAUCUCCCACAAUUUAUGGUGAUUUUCCAAAGUCACGUUACUGCUGCUGUCCCAAGCAGAUUUAUUACCAAAUCACUCUUUCACACAUACCUUGCAUGCUUGUUAUUUAAACAUGUAUAUCACCAAUCAAUCAUCACAUAUCUAUGAUUUUAUUUAAGUAUAAUCUCCAUUUCAUCAUUUAAAAGUACAACAUGUUAGCUAAUUUUUCCCUUUAACAUCUAAGGCACAUGCAUGCUUAUUUGUUUGGCUCAACUUCACCUAUCUUCCAUUUUUCAUCAAAAGAACAUGAAACAACAACCAUUUCCUUCAUUUUAAUUCAUGACUAAAUGCUCACAACACAACUAAAAAUCAAAAUAUACUUCAAGAGUUAAGGUAAAAUCAAGAAGAACUCAUGAACAUCAAGAUAGAAGCAAACUACCAUGAACUUACCUUCAAUUUUCUUCCCCAAGUGACCGAACAUUCAAGAGCUUUCUCCUCUCCUUUCUCUUCUCUAACUUUCAGCUAUGAUGAACAAAGAUGGACAAAACUUUGUUCUUUUCACCCCUUUUUCUUUUAAUAAAACUUCAUAUUUCAUCCAUUU